CAUAUGAGAUAUGCCUAUUUCAA
RNAcentral lists this non-coding RNA (23 nucleotides) under Arabidopsis thaliana (thale cress). The record is from RNAcentral. Lineage: Eukaryota; Viridiplantae; Streptophyta; Magnoliopsida; Brassicales; Brassicaceae.